Molecule: ribosomal RNA, 593 nt
Filed under: uncultured Actinomycetes bacterium
Lineage: Bacteria; Bacillati; Actinomycetota; Actinomycetes
Description: bacterial SSU rRNA
Rfam family: Bacterial small subunit ribosomal RNA
Source: RNAcentral
GCGCUCUGGGAUAGCCACCGGAAACGGUGAUUAAUACCGGAUAGGACCACUUCACGCAUGUGAUGGUGGUGGAAAGUUUUUUCGGCGCAGGAUGUGCUCGCGGCCUAUCAGCUUGUUGGUGAGGUAACGGCUCACCAAGGCUUUGACGGGUAACCGGCCUGAGAGGGUGACCGGUCACACUGGGACUGAGACACGGCCCAGACUCCUACGGGAGGCAGCAGUGGGGAAUAUUGGACAAUGGGCGGAAGCCUGAUCCAGCAACGCCGCGUGAGGGAUGACGGCCUUCGGGUUGUAAACCUCUUUCAGUACCGACGAAGCGAAAGUGACGGUAGGUACAGAAGAAGGACCGGCCAACUACGUGCCAGCAGCCGCGGUAAUACGUAGGGUCCGAGCGUUGUCCGGAAUUAUUGGGCGUAAAGGGCUCGUAGGCGGUUUGUCGCGUCGGGAGUGAAAACACCGGGCUUAACUCGGUGCUUGCUUUCGAUACGGGCAGACUAGAGGUAUGCAGGGGAGAAUGGAAUUCCUGGUGUAGCGGUGAAAUGCGCAGAUAUCAGGAGGAACACCGGUGGCGAAGCCGGUUCUCUGGGCAUUAC